AUAGCAUUGAGGAUCGUGGGAUUAAUCAGGUCUAUAUAAUUGGAGGAGAUGGAUCUCAGAAGGGAGCCUCCGUGAUUUUUGAGGAAAUCCAGAGGCGUGGUCUGAAAGUUGCAGUUGCUGGCAUCCCAAAGACAAUAGAUAAUGACAUUCCGGUUAUCGACAAGUCUUUCGGCUUUGAUUCUGCUGUUGAAGAGGCCCAACGAGCAAUUAAUGCAGCCCAUGUGGAAGCUGAGAGUGUCGAGAACGGGAUUGGAGUUGUGAAGUUGAUGGGUCG
Molecule: unclassified non-coding RNA, 274 nt
Filed under: Hevea brasiliensis (rubber tree)
Lineage: Eukaryota; Viridiplantae; Streptophyta; Magnoliopsida; Malpighiales; Euphorbiaceae
Source: RNAcentral